This is a long non-coding RNA of Tripterygium wilfordii, 395 nucleotides long. RefSeq lists it as uncharacterized. Lineage: Eukaryota; Viridiplantae; Streptophyta; Magnoliopsida; Celastrales; Celastraceae. The record is from RefSeq and is a predicted model, not a curated record. The transcript has 4 exons.
AAAAAAAUAUAAAACAAAGAAGAAGUUCGAGGAACCGAGAGAGAGAAAGGGAAAAUGUGAAGAGAGAAUGUGAUUUUUGAAGGAGAUAAAGGGAAAAGAAGAUGGAAUCAAGAGUUUGAGAUUUUCAUAGGCUUGGAUUCCAAGAUUUCUUCAAGAUUGAGGUUUGAGCUUGGAUUGAAGUGUGGAGAUAGGAGGAGAAGUGGUUGAGCUAAGGAUUGAAGAUUUGGGGCAAGGUUAUUGAACUUGGAAGAUUGGUGGCUAGAGUUGUGGUGAGAUUUUGCUCAAACGAGGUGAUAUAGGUACUAGCGCUAGUGCUCCGACUACGGAUCAGCAGGGAGGCGUGUGACGUGGAUGGCCUGGACUAGUGUUGGUGUAGUGGUAUGCUUUUAUUAUGU